Molecule: RNase P RNA, 299 nt
Filed under: Flavobacteriaceae bacterium
Lineage: Bacteria; Pseudomonadati; Bacteroidota; Flavobacteriia; Flavobacteriales; Flavobacteriaceae
Description: RNase P RNA component class A
Rfam family: Bacterial RNase P class A
About the family: Ribonuclease P (RNase P) is a ubiquitous endoribonuclease, found in archaea, bacteria and eukarya as well as chloroplasts and mitochondria. Its best characterised activity is the generation of mature 5'-ends of tRNAs by cleaving the 5'-leader elements of precursor-tRNAs.
Source: RNAcentral
UAAGUUGGUCGCCUUGUCGCUAUAUUUAUAUAGAGGAAAGUCCGAACACCAUAGUGCAUCAUAGUGGUUAAUUGCCACCGAUUGUAAAAUCAGGAAUAGUGCAACAGAAAGUAUGUACAGGUAAUGCUGUAGUGAAAUCAUGUAAACUCUAUGAGGUGCAAUGCCAUGUAAACCAGCUAUAAGAGUAGCGCGCUCANUGUUGGAGGGUAGGCAGCUAGAAUAAAUUGGCAACAAUUUAUCAAGAUAAAUGACAAGGACUUGAAAAAGUACAGAAUUCGGCUUAUAGACCUACUUAUUUA